UCCAUCUAUCCACUCAAUCCAUUCAUCUGACACAUCUACAAGUCUUCCACACACGGACCGAACCAUAAAGGACAUUUUGUUUUGUAACCGAACUGGACGAACCAUCGCUGGUAAAUCGGACUGAACUUUGGAGACUUGUGAUCGGACUCACCGUCGAUAAGUGACCGAGAUCCGAACUCAUCAGCAGCUGGAUGGUCUUCUCCUGAAUCUCUGAAUCACAUCUGGAGAGAGAAACCAACCAAGCCUGGACAAGAAGACUGAAAAGAGCAAUUUUAUAACCACACACCAAUAUUUAUGUUUAUAUUUCAUGUGUGGUUUUUUUCUAGUCUGAUGAUCACCAUGCUUGGAUUUCAUUACCUCAGCAGGGAGGGCUGGAGUCGGCCAUGAGCGUGUAUAGAUGCUCGACACGCCCCACCACGGUUCACCUCCACCGUCGGUCUGUAAAGGAACGAAGCUCCUGACUCCCAGCGUCAAACCAAUGCUGCAUCAUCCGGAUCAUGGGAUGCGUCAAAUCCAAAUGCGGGAAGCCUGCUCAGAACUCCAGCACGCCGGACCGGGUGGACGGCCCGCCUGCUCCGGUCUGCCUGGGAGCCGGCCUGGACGAGGAGACGUCGCUGGUCAACCUGGUCCUGCUUGACUACGCGCAGAGACUGUCGGAGGAGAUCGUGGCCCGGGCCGUUCAGCAGUGGGCCGAGGUGGACAGCCGCUACAGCGACAUCCCUUAUAUCGAGUGUGACGUGCCAUGAUGUGCCAGCGUGUGGAGUUCCCACGGUCCAGCAGAUCCGCUGGGAUUUACCACGACCAGUGAAGGAACCUGAGAAGGAACUGCAGAAGACGUGUUUAGGAACCUUUUUUAAGCACGAAUAAGAUCACAUGACGUGGAAUAUAAACUGAACAAAUCUAGCAUUUUGAACACAGCCGGUACCUCAAUACCCUCCGCUGCUCGUCUCCUCCGCAGCCCUGCACACUCCUGCAGCUCAGAUAUGCAAAACUCACGCCAGGUCACGAGAGGAAUUCAUACCUACCUAAAAUAGCUCUGAUCUGCUAGUCCUACUGCCAGAGGAACGCUACGGAUUUACACAAAUGCUCAGCACAUAACAAGCAAGCGUCCUUAAUCUUAAUAAAUCUUAAUAAAUCGUGUUACAAGCACAAUCACAGUUUUGUGGCAUAUUUAUCACGUGAAGUAGUGCAGUUGUAGCCUAGCGGUUAAGGUACUGGACUAGUAAUCAAAAGGUCACAGGUUCAAGUCCCACCACUGCCAGGUUGUCACUGUUGGGCCCUUGAGCGAGGCCCUUAACCCUCAAUUGCUUAGACAGUUUACUGUCACAGUACUGUAAGUCGCUUUGGAUAAAGGUGUCUGCUAAAUGCUGUAAAUGUAAAUGAAGUACAAUAAAGUAA
Molecule: RNA transcript, 1398 nt
Organism: Trichomycterus rosablanca
Lineage: Eukaryota; Metazoa; Chordata; Actinopteri; Siluriformes; Trichomycteridae
Gene name: small membrane A-kinase anchor protein-like
Exons: 3
Source: RefSeq, a predicted model, not a curated record